GGAAGCAGGGGAUCGUAAGGCCUUGCGCUUUUGGAGCGGCCGAUGUCUGAUUAGCUAGUUGGUGGGGUAAGGGCCUACCAAGGCGACGAUCAGUAGUUGGUCUGAGAGGACGACCAGCCACACUGGGACUGAGACACGGCCCAGACUCCUACGGGAGGCAGCAGUGGGGAAUUUUGGACAAUGGGCGCAAGCCUGAUCCAGCAAUGCCGCGUGAGUGAAGAAGGCCUUCGGGUUGUAAAGCUCUUUCAGUCGAGAAGAAAAGGCUACGGUAAAUAAUCGUAGUUCAUGACGGUACCGACAGAAGAAGCACCGGCUAACUACGUGCCAGCAGCCGCGGUAAUACGUAGGGUGCGAGCGUUAAUCGGAAUUACUGGGCGUAAAGGGUGCGCAGGCGGCUUUGUAAGUCAGAUGUGAAAUCCCCGGGCUUAACCUGGGAAUUGCGUUUGAAACUACAAGGCUAGA
RNAcentral lists this ribosomal RNA (462 nucleotides) under uncultured beta proteobacterium. RNAcentral describes it as "bacterial SSU rRNA". It matches the Rfam family "Bacterial small subunit ribosomal RNA", at positions 187 to 645 of the family's 1533-position model. The record is from RNAcentral. Lineage: Bacteria; Pseudomonadati; Pseudomonadota; Betaproteobacteria.